Molecule: microRNA precursor, 110 nt
Filed under: Eugenia uniflora (Surinam cherry)
Lineage: Eukaryota; Viridiplantae; Streptophyta; Magnoliopsida; Myrtales; Myrtaceae
Description: miR10213 stem-loop (eun-MIR10213)
Source: miRBase by way of RNAcentral
CAAACCACGAAUCACCUACUCGUUCCGUUGAUCCAUCCAGGAACUAAACCACCGGUCUGGUCUGGUUUUCGGAUGGAUCAAUAGAACGAGCAGGUGAUUCACGGUUUUUG